Molecule: ribosomal RNA, 253 nt
Filed under: uncultured bacterium
Lineage: Bacteria
Description: partial 16S ribosomal RNA
Rfam family: Bacterial small subunit ribosomal RNA
Source: RNAcentral
UACGGAGGAUGCAAGCGUUAUCCGGAUUCAUUGGGUUUAAAGGGUGCGUAGGCGGAAUAAUAAGUCAGCGGUGAAAGCCUGUGGCUCAACCAUAGAAUUGCCAUUGAUACUGUUAUUCUUGAGUAUAGUUGAAGUAGGCGGAAUGUGUAAUGUAGCGGUGAAAUGCUUAGAUAUUACACAGAACACCAAUUGCGAAGGCAGCUUACUAAGCUGUUACUGACGCUGAGGCACGAAAGCGUGGGGAGCAAACAGG